UUUUCUAGCUGGUUAAAAAAUCUGAGAUGACUUUGCUUUUUUGGCUCAGGAAACAAUAAUGUAAUUGAUUAGAGAGAGUCAUGAAUAUAUAAUAACUUUCUUGUUUAUUUGUUGUCUUGUCUUUGAGGAUUGUUAACGAGGGAAAAGCACCCUUCAAUUUCCCCUCUGACAGCCUCCCAGGCACAGAGGCCUUAUUCCCUUUACUUCACAUAGGGAAUGAUUCUUUGGAAAUAUUUCCAGACAACAAUUCCUAAAUAGAGACAAGACAGAUUUUUCUACUUUUGUAGAAAUUUACUUUUGUCAGCUGCAGUCGUUCUAGGCUGUGAUCAGGUCUGGAGAGUCGUUUAUUGAGGAGGAUCUUACGCCAAGCAACCAGUGUGUCGUCCCUGGGGAAGAGGCUGAAGAUCUGUUGGAGAGCUGACGGUGGAAACGGAUGUCUGUCUUCUGGAUUUGGGUGAUAUUUCCUCGUUUCCUAGAAAACUUGAAGUGGGUUCUGUCAUUAGGCAUGAUUGAGAGGGGAUACUUUUCAGCUGUGUAAAUAGCACAGCGGUUUCCUCCUGCCUUUCUUCUUUUCUAGCCAUGGUUCCAAGGCUUGUCCCUCCCAAGUGAGCAGGCAGCGCUGGAGAUGAGAACGAUCACUCCCGCCAUUACCAGGGAGGUGUGGGCCACUGCUAUUUCAGAGAUCCACUAGCCUGCCGCGAGGUCGGCGCGGGCCCGCUACGCAAAGAGCGCAAAGCUCCCAGCGCUGCGCACCACGGCCGCAGCAAGGCGCCAGAAUGGCGUUUCCCGAUGCCCAGGAUUUGGGAACCGCGGGUUUGAGUUUCAGGGCGUCCGGCAGCCCCAGGGAAACGUCGUCGCGGCUUAUCGCGCCAACUUUGUGCAGCUUCAACCUGAGUAAAAAAAUCUCCUUUGCUGUUGAGGAGGCAGCACCGCCGUGGUCUCCCUUGAGACAUCUUCCUCAGGUAGCCAGCAGGGCACUUUUUAUUUUCGGGAUUUCCCCCUGGGUUUAGGGCUUUUAUUUCCCAUAGAGACUUUAGUGAGACUUGUUUUACGGAAGGACCAGUUGAUUCCGGGACUUGAGGGCUCGAGAUCGCACGGGUUUAAUCUUCGGGAUUCCGUUUGUGUGGGGGCGCGGGGCAGGGACGUCUUGGGGAAGGGGACACGCUGGACCUUGGGGCGAGCGGACGGGUCCUGGGAGCGCCCGGGGCUGGGGACGCCGCGUACCGAGCCAGGAGGAGAGAGGCGCCCGUGCCUGCCCCAGGGUGUGCCAGGGGCUAAGCUUUCAGCUUCAGACGUCAACAUCGCUGAAACCAUAACUCAACUCAGUUUACUGAAAGGCCUUCCUCAGGACCCCACCUUGACUUGUGUUGCUGAAAAGAGAAAUGAGCAGUGUUGCCUACAAGGAAUAGAGAAGCAGAAUAUUGAACACUCUCCUCAAACUCAGUACCUACUAUCUUCAAGAACGUGA
This is a long non-coding RNA of Macaca mulatta (Rhesus monkey), 1468 nucleotides long. Lineage: Eukaryota; Metazoa; Chordata; Mammalia; Primates; Cercopithecidae. The record is from Ensembl.